Molecule: transfer RNA, 109 nt
Filed under: Lasallia pustulata
Lineage: Eukaryota; Fungi; Ascomycota; Lecanoromycetes; Umbilicariales; Umbilicariaceae
Description: Umbilicaria pustulata tRNA-Pro
Rfam family: tRNA
About the family: Transfer RNA (tRNA) molecules are approximately 80 nucleotides in length. Their secondary structure includes four short double-helical elements and three loops (D, anti-codon, and T loops).
Source: RNAcentral
GGCUCAAUGGUCUAGUGGUAUGAUUGUCGCUUCGGGUUAAAACACGGCCUGAGUGCCUCAGGUGCUCUCUGUAUGUGACAGGCCCCGGGUUCAAAUCCCGGUUGAGCCC